Molecule: long non-coding RNA, 1387 nt
Filed under: Fukomys damarensis (Damara mole-rat)
Lineage: Eukaryota; Metazoa; Chordata; Mammalia; Rodentia; Bathyergidae
Description: lncRNA (ENSFDAG00000022497.1)
Source: RNAcentral
CAGGGUUCCUGCAGGAUAAAGGAUGAAGGUGUGCGGACUUGCACCUGUGUCCCUGCAGAAGCGCUGGUGGGAAACCAGGCUGGGUGCUGGGUUCCACGGUCACCGUGUUCACUGACACCAGCACUGUGUGAAGAGUACGUGAAGAUGGUCCACACGUGGGCUCGGUGGGCUCAUGGAGGGGUGAAGUCAUUUUCUUUCUCUCCAGCUUCCUGCUCUGCCCAGACCCCUCUCAUGGUGGGGAGCCCAGGGCCUACCACUGAGCUGCCCCCAACCCCAACCCUUUCUCUUUUUGCUUUUUGUCCAAACCGGAUAUGGGGUAAUUUACAAAAAUAUAUACACAAUACUAGAAUUUUUAUAAACAGUGUUGGUGUGUAAGGAAAAUAAGUAAGAAAAAUAAGAUAAGGCCCAUGUGAGUUCGGAUGCAAUGUCCUGACCCUGUGAGCUUGUCAGGGAACGCUGUGUGCUUUGAAAUAGCCCACAACAGCAUUGACAGUGACCGAAGAACAAGAAAUGAGGCCUUCAGAAGAAAUCCAGUGGGUCCCGCUCAUUUCCGGGGCUAAGUCCUCGGGUCUCCUGGGAACCACAGUCGGGCUGGCGCUGUGAUCCAGUGAAAUAGUCUGUCCAGGAGAGGAGUGAGGGGUCUGGGACAAAUCCAGAUGGGCCAGGGCACAGCCCACGUGUCCAUCGUGUCCUGCCUGCACCCCAGUCCAGAGCUGCCCGGCCGGGAGACUGUGGCCCGAGCCCCAGCUCCGCAGAGAGGCCCAGGGGGGUGGUACAAGGGUACUUGGGCCUCUGACCAGGGCUGGCAGGGCCCUGGGACUAAUGCUGGCCUGGAAGGGGCAGCCACACUGGCUGGGAACGUCUCUGACCAGGGGGUGAAGGGCACCCUGCGGCAGGUGGGAGGGAGGGACUUCAGCGAGGGAGCAGGCAGCUGGUACCCGUGGCGAAGCACAGGGCCAGCUGUGUCUGCUGGUGCGGUUGAUUCCAAACACGUUUUAGAGUGCGAAGGAAAAGUAAGCGCAGCUUGGCUUUCAGGCAGUGCUUUCCCUCCUUGGCCUGAGCCUGAAGCUCUGUUCUCAGGCGUGUGUUCUCCGUGGAAGAACAGAGCCAUUCCGUCCCCACCCACUGAGACGGAAAGUUUCUCUUUCUUCCUUGCCCGGAGGGAGCCUAGUAGAGGGGGAGAGGAAGAAUGGCGCUGGCAUUCAACAGCUGGGAAGCCACAAGCAAGUACUGAAUGGUACCAUGCCUCAGUUUCCUCAUCUGUAAAGGGACACACAGUGGAUUUUACAAGUUGUCUAUGAGGGAUAGGUAAGGCAGCACUGCAAUUUGGAAUUAAAGGACCAUGUAUUAAAGGCUCGGACCCCAGCCCAUGGUGCUAUUGGGAGGU